GGCUGGCCGUCUCUCAGACCGUGAGGGUAUACGCCGAAAGUAUAAUCAUCGAACCAGCUCGUUGUAGGCUGAAACAGUUUAGAAGAUUCGAGUGUAACAUACAUACAAACAUUACACAACACAUGGUCACUAUUACUUGAUGAGUCAGACGUACAUUGUACUUGCACGAGAGUCGAGAUUCGAUUACGAGGGAAUUACCCAGUAUCAUCACAGGGGUUCGCAACGAGCUAGCCACAGACGAAAAUGAUAAUUUAAACGGAGGCGACCGUCGAACCAAAUACGCCUACACUAACGACGAAGUAAUUAUCCUUAACCCAAAACAGAUGUGGACGUCACUGACGCCUACUACACUGUUCACAAGCGAUUUCUAACCGACGUCAAAAAAUGGAGAUUUGAUUUGCUAUUCAUUCUGAUACCAUGAUCAAUACCCAUCAAGUGUCUGCAAACAUCGCUGUGACGUCAUUGUCGCGAUCGAUGACGUCAUCGAUGACGUCACGCCCACCCGAGAUUGACACGAGAUUUACGUUUUGAUAUUGAACGAGUAUCAAAAUGGAUUAUUCACAGCUGUUUACAUUAAUUUAUUAUGAUUAUGUUUUA
Molecule: long non-coding RNA, 597 nt
Organism: Danaus plexippus (monarch butterfly)
Lineage: Eukaryota; Metazoa; Arthropoda; Insecta; Lepidoptera; Nymphalidae
Exons: 4
Source: RefSeq, a predicted model, not a curated record